Non-coding RNA from Struthio camelus australis, 1192 nucleotides. The record is from RefSeq and is a predicted model, not a curated record. NCBI's taxonomy places the organism in Eukaryota, Metazoa, Chordata, Aves, Struthioniformes, Struthionidae.
CCUAGGCAAGAAUUAGCAGUAGGAGGCAGGCACUCCUUGGCUGCCCUUCUGCAAGGGGCCUGGUGCUGACUGGCCACAUUUCUGUGCCAGCUUUCCUGUAACACUCCUGUACAUCGGUUUCAUGCUCCAUGUGCAUUAACACCAAUCCACAGAAAACCGCUUGUCCUUGUGGCAGAAAGUGUUCUCAAGAGACUCUUCACUGCAUAGGCCUUCAUGCUUUUGUUUCGACAGUCUCUCUUCUCGCACUGCAAUGUUUUCAAGUCCUUCUUGGCUUCAAGCCUCUCAUAUAAGGAGUGCAGAACUGAAAUAAAUAUGGAUAAACACUUCCCAGCUUGAUCCAUCACAGAAACACUUCUUGAUCUUGCAAGGAAGGAUUCUCUGAGAAUGAUCUUUUUGGCUUCCCUGGGUAAAUACAUGAUGCGUCUUUCCCCACAGGGUAUACAACGUUGGGUAUGCCCACGUGCCCUUUCAUAAGCAUGCUGUCCUGCAGUGCUGUCUGGGAGCAGAAAAAGGCCCCCAGCAUGCCAUCUUUGCAAUGCAGUGCCUUGGCUUCAGAGAAGCAGGAGGAAGGAUUACUUUACAGAGUGCAAGGACUCUGUGCAAGGACAACACGCAUAUUUCCCAACAAGUGAAAAGCAACAGAAUUUCUUAACUCUCUUUGAACUUCAAGUGAAGAUGGAUGAAUACAGGGAGAAACAGAUUUCCCUGUGGUGCCAGAGCUGGAUAUAACUGUAUGGCACUCUUUCUUUGAGGCACCUGCACUGAAACGUUCUGGAUUUCAUUGGGCAUGGUGUCUGGUGGUGACGACUGUACAAUCUACUACUGAAGCAAAUUGUAGAGGAGAUGGCUGACCUGUGGCUAUGGCUGCUUUCUGCGUAUAAAUAUUAUUGUGUGUAUCUGUUUGACCAUGGUAGGAUAUCUAAUGUAUUGUAGAAACAAGUUUGGUACCUCCAGACUUGAUGUCACUUUCACCACAGAUGCUUUCUUCCAAAUUUAUUUUCCCUCACUUGAGCCUUGGUAUUUUAAAAAAAAAAAAAAACUUUAAAAGUGUUGUUUUCUAGGAAAACAUACCCUACUGUCAUUUUUUUGGAAAAAGGGAACUUUAUUGUAAACACUGUUUAAGUGAAAUAUGGUGUACAGAAUGUUAAGUAACUGCUGAGCCAAAUCUCAGUGUCAACACAGAAAUCCUUAG